RNAcentral lists this ribosomal RNA (780 nucleotides) under Pollenia pediculata. Its description in RNAcentral is "SSU rRNA". It matches the Rfam family "Eukaryotic small subunit ribosomal RNA", at positions 501 to 1214 of the family's 1831-position model. The record is from RNAcentral. Lineage: Eukaryota; Metazoa; Arthropoda; Insecta; Diptera; Polleniidae.
CCCUGUAAUUGGAAUGAGUACACUUUAAAUCCUUUAACAAGGACCUAUUGGAGGGCAAGUCUGGUGCCAGCAGCCGCGGUAACUCCAGCUCCAAUAGCGUAUAUUAAAGUUGUUGCGGUUAAAACGUUCGUAGUUGAACUUGUGCUUCAUACGGGUAGUACGACUAUAAUUGUAGUUUGUACUGUACCUUAUGUAUGUAAGCGUAUUACCGGUGGAGUUCUUAUAUGUAUUAAAUACUUGUAUUUGUACAUAUUCCUCCUAUUUAAACCUGCUUCAGUGCUCUUCAUCGAGUGUUGUUGUGGGCCGGUACAAUUACUUUGAACAAAUUAGAGUGCUUAAAGCAGGCUCCAAAUGCCUGAAUAUUUUGUGCAUGGAAUAAUGAAAUAAGACCUCUGUUCUACUUUCAUUGGUUUUUAGAUCAAGAGGUAAUGAUUAAUAGAAGCAGUUUGGGGGCAUUAGUAUUACGACGCGAGAGGUGAAAUUCUUGGACCGUCGUAAGACUAACUUAAGCGAAAGCAUUUGCCAAAGAUGUUUUCAUUAAUCAAGAACGAAAGUUAGAGGUUCGAAGGCGAUCAGAUACCGCCCUAGUUCUAACCAUAAACGAUGCCAGCUAGCAAUUGGGUGUAGCUACUAUCAUGGCUCUCUCAGUCGCUUCCCGGGAAACCAAAGCUUUUGGGCUCCGGGGGAAGUAUGGUUGCAAAGCUGAAACUUAAAGGAAUUGACGGAAGGGCACCACCAGGAGUGGAGCCUGCGGCUUAAUUUGACUCAACACGGGAAAAC